GUCGGUCUGAGCUCGGCGCGUCCUCAGGGUAAGGGCGGUAAUAGAAAGGCUUCCUUCUCUUUUCUUUUUUUUGCAAUAUCUUGCAACUUAUCUUGCUCGUCCUUGCAGAUAUCGCGAAGAUGGUGACCAAGAGCGAAGCUCUGUACGCUCGGUUCCGGAAGAGAGCUGCCGAGCUCGGAGGAGAACCGCUCGAACCGAAGAAG
Molecule: long non-coding RNA, 203 nt
Filed under: Phoenix dactylifera (date palm)
Lineage: Eukaryota; Viridiplantae; Streptophyta; Magnoliopsida; Arecales; Arecaceae
Description: long non-coding RNA (PDAC_LNC020974)
Source: RNAcentral